CACAACGUAAUUUUAAUAUAUCAUUAUUUAAUAUAAUAUAAUUUUAAUAAAAAUAUUUUUUAUAAUUUUUAUUUAUAAUUUAGCAUAAAUGUAAUUUAUAUUUAUAUUCUAUCAUUUGAUUUAAAUAUAAAGGUAAAGUAUAUUGACACUCACUCAAUUUUGAUUAAAAUAACAAAACAGUCACUAAUCUUUAAAAAGUUAUAACUCGGCCACGGAACUUCAAAAAAAUAACAAACUAACUAUUAAUAUUAUCGUAAAGUGACAAAUUAAUCACCUACAAACAUUUUUUGUUAUAGGCUUAACGGAAUAAAUUAACUAGUCACGUUGGACAUGUCCAUAUCAACUGGCCUUAACCAAAAAAAGAAGAAAAGGAACAGCUUGCGCUCCAGCGCCUUGAAGAACAGUGCACCCUGCAGAAGUGCCGCCUCUAAGACCUCCGCCGUUCUAACACCACCCCCAACAAUACCUUUGAUUCCUAUACUGCUAAGCCCUCCUUCGACUCCUGCGACCGCCGUGACUGCGAACGAUAGUGAGAGAGGGAUUGUGAAUCUGACCGGAGGAACCGUGAACGUGAGAGGGAGGAGGAAGCCAAAGGUCGAGAGCGGGCGUAGUUGGAUAAGCUAGCUGAGAGGGAAAGGGAAAAGGAAUUGGAUAAGCUAGCUGCAAUUAAUGAGCAGUACCUCGGAUCUAAAAAGCCUAAAAUGAGGGUUAUUAAACCUAGCGAGAAAUUUAGGUUUUCUUUCGAUUGGGAGAGCACCAAAGAUACUUCCAGAGACAUGAAUUCUUUGUACCAAAACCCUCACGAGGCACAAUUUUUGUUUGGUUGAAGGUUUAGGGCUGGAAUGGAUCGUAGGGACCAGAAAAAGCUAGCUACCAAAAAUGAGAAGGGGAUGAGAGAAGAGAUCAGGAAAAAAAAAGGGGGUUGAAGCUGAAGGAAGCGGCAGCGCAGAGGUAUAAACUCUCCAUUGUUUGGAUGUCGAGAAAUUCAAUAGAGAAAAUGAAAGAGAAAACUCAAAUCAACAGUAGGCAUCUCCAUUUCUUCCCUUCUGCUUCUUCUUCCAACAAUUAGGUUUCUUAAAUUGGGGUUCCACCAUUGCUAGCUAACGUUCAACGUGGCUAGUUAACGAGCCACCUCAACUUUUCAUUUCGUCUGUAACGAAAAAUGUCUAUUAGUGACUGAUUUGUCAUUUUUAUAAAGUUUAGUAAUUGAGUUGUAACAUUUUAAAGGUUAGUGACUUUUUGUUAUUUUAAUUAAAGUUGAGUGGUUGUUGGUGAACUCUACCCUAAAUAUAAUUUGUAAAAUAUUUUGAUAUUUUAUUAUACACAUUUCAAUUUAAUGUCCUUAACUGUAAUUUUUUUAUUCCAAUCUCGUCGCUAACGAUACGUUUGAAUCCAAACACAUAUCUUAUCGAUAGCUUUAAUCUUAUUAUCACACUUAUUUUUAAUCUUACCGAAACUAAUCAGGUCCAUUUAAUCUCGAUUCGGUGCGUUUGGAAUAUUUUUUGACCAAAUCGUACCAUACCAAUCCGUCUAGAUUGUAAAGAUCAACACGAUUGAAGCAUCACUCAAUGCACUGGACUAGGGUUUCUCCACCGGAGCUUUAUGUUCCAGUCAAAUGUUUCAACAUCCAUUGAUGGUCAUUUUCUUUACACCUUAUCUCUUUGUCCAUUUUACCUUUUUGUCUCUUUCUUCUUUUAUCUUCUGCUUCAAUAACUUUGUAUUUUCAUUUGUAAGAUGCUUUUAUUAAUUUAAAAUAAUAAUCAUUUUCCCUUUUAUUUUAUAAUAAACUAAUAUACGUUAUUAUCAAAACAACUUUUAAUUUACCAUUUCUUGAACAACUUUUAGAUUAUUUGUUUUACUUUUUAAUUAUUUUGAUUUAAAAAAUGUUAAAAUUUUCCAUUUCAUGUAAUAACAUAUUUAUAUAAUUACAUGCUAAUUAGGUAAAUCAUCUAAUAAAUAUAUUAGAUAAUAUAUUAAUAAUUUAUUAAUUUAUAUUUUCAAAUAAGUUUUAAGUACAACCAUAUUAAAUUUUUUUAAUGUAAUUAAUGAUCAUUUUGUAUUUUUACAAUAAUUCACCUCAUUGCCAUCGUUGCGUUCGAAUCUAAACACAUUCAAUCAUUGAUUUUAAUCACACUGCUAUAGUACCUAAUCUCACCAUUAUAAUAACCAAUCUCAUCACCACCAUUGCUUUUAACCUCACCAAAGUUAAUCUCACUACCCAUCCAAAAGUUGUACUAAAAAUACCCUAAGCAAUGUGGCCUGUGAUAUUUUUAUGCAUGUCAUUAAAAAAUAAAUUAAUUGAAAAACAUAUUUUAUAAAAUUAAAUUAAAAGAAAUGAAGAUAAAAUCAUUUUUAUCAACUCAAAAAUUAAAGGUAAACUACAAAAAUGGUCACUAAACUUUGGUAAAAUUUCUUUUUUUACCACUGAAUUAUGAAAGGUUGCAUUUUGGGCACUAAAGUUAUUGACUUGUAACAUUUUGGUCACUCAUUUGUUAAUAGCCAUUAUAGCCUUAAUAGAAAAGUAGGGCGGCACAUUAAUUCAAGGGUUAAUAUCCAAUUUAAUCCCUGAACUAUAACUAAAACAUUCAAUUUGGUACAUUUAUAACAUUGAGAUCUUGUUGAGCAUUGAUUCGUUAGUCUUGGGUUAGCCGAUGAUUUCCAGAGAUAAGCCAGAUUAACUUGUCUAACUUGGUAAAACUGAGAUCGAGAGGUAAAAUGGAACCAUUUUAAGAGUUCAAGCAAUUUGGAUCCCUAAUUAGAGUAUGAGCAAACCACAUCGAGAUCAAUCAACCAUCGUUUGUUAUUUAUUUGUUAGUUUUGAAAAUUCGUACGUCUUACAAUUUAGUCAUUAGUAGCUAGAUCAUAUAUUAGUAUAAUUAUCCUUGACGUCAUGAUUUGUCGUACUAUACUGUUUAGUGAUUAGUUGAUUAGACUUUCUAUUUUGCACCCUCGAUAGUAGAAAUUGUUCAAUCCCCGACUCUAUUGGGUUCGAUCCUCGGAGUACUCCUGUACUCCGUUGUACAAAUAUGUUACAACUGACUUGUCACACUUGUAAAUAUCACACUUAUUAGUUUUAUUUUUGCUGUUUUUGUUUGUUGAUUCUUCCUCCUCCCAUAGCUUACGAAGGGUGACGAGUUGGAGGGCAGUCAUCAUCCCAUGUACUAACAUGAAGGGCUUCUGGGAAUCAUUCAUGUCGGGUCCAAUUAUAAGUACUUCUUGAAAUUUUAAACCAACAAUUUAUAAUUUAAUCCAACCUAGUACAUAUUUUUCUAUUUUUCAAAAUAAACAUCAUAAAUUAAUUUUAAUUAAUUAAUUAAUUUUCUAAUUAUAAACUUAUUUAGUCACAAAGUCAUUCCACUAUAGUAUCGUGAUUGAGCUUUCUCUAAUGACAUACCAUUACGAAAGAAACUCUAUCAAUACUCGUCCAAUGACCUUGUCAUAAGUGUGUUACCUUCAUAGGAUAUCCUUAAUAUAUCUGGGAUAAAUCUGCUCUCCAAAUAUGAUGCCAUUUUAUCUCAUGGUAAUCGUUACAUCUUCCUUCAUGAAAAGUCAAUUACUAUCAAAUAGUAAUGAAGUCAUUCAUCACAAAGAAGAACGACAGCCGUGACUACGUUUAUUUUUCAUAUAUCAUGUAAUGUCAAUGAGAGGAUAUCAUUUACCCGUGUCUUAGGCUAUGAAUUCCACUAUUGUGAAUUAUGCUGCAUACUACAAAACUCGUAUACCCAACACACUAUCUUUCGAUUCCUUAUAUAUUUAAAUUCAAGCUUUUACUUACAUCAAUGUAGACGAGUCACACAUACAUAGCCUAUCAUCCACUUAGGAUUAAGGUAUGUCACCAGUGAAUAAAUCCAUAAAUAGAUUCAAGAUCUAUUCUGCUUUAGUCCAGUUUGAUGUACUGUCAGUCCAGUCAGUCACAUCUAUGUCUCUAUCUUCUAGGAGUCAUUCGCUCUAAUGCCCAAAACAAAGCAUCUCAUCAAUUGGACUUGAUAGAUGACAUAUUAGUCUUUCAAUCGAUUUGUUCAUUUCCAAUUAAAAUAAGGUCAUGUUUAGGUUCGUCUACGAACAUAAGUUUUCUUUCUAUAUUACAAUCCGACCACAUAAUACUUCUUGGUAUUAAUUAAACAUUUAAACAACUAGUGAGUUAAUAUUUGAUUCUAUUUUACUUUACAUGAAAAAAAACCAUAUCAGGACAUUAUACAAAGGGUAUUAAGGUAAUCCAUGAAUAACUUUAUUAACCAAUCUGUUGAAAAAAUACAAUUGGACAUAGGUGAAAAUACUACACUUAAGGUACUAGAUCCAACAUACGUAUAGGCCUAUUUGAUCUUGUAUAUGGGCAUUUUGUUUGUAUAAUUGAAAUAUAUGAAUUAUGCCAUAUUUAUUGGUUUAAUUUUAACAAAAAUGAAUGAAUAUAAUUUGAGUUACUUCAGAAACAAGUUGUGACAUCUCGCGUGUCACAUCCCAAAAAUGGGGUUAGUGAAUCGAAAGUUUGAUUGGGAUACCAGAGUAAGGAUAGAAGCGUUUAAUAAAAAUUAAUAAAAUAUUAAAUAAUUGAUCGAGAUUAAAAUUUAGGUGAAGGAAUUAAAAUUGGGUGUUCAAGAAUCAAUUAUUUUAAAACGGAUUAUAAAAACGAAACCAAAAUUGAAAAUAUAAUGAAAUAAUGCUUAAUUUUAAGGGAAGGACUAUUUUGAAAAAAGGUGAAAAUAGGGAGUGUUUAAAUGGGGCAAUUGCCCAAAUUUAAAAAAUUGGUUGGCUAUUUAACAUUUCCCAUUUCUAUUCCAUCUCAUUUCAACUCUCAUUUAAAACUUCUCCUGAAUCUAAAUCUAAUUGUUUCUCUCAAAAUUAAUUCAUCCCUAAAGAUUUUUUAGCCUUCCAGACACCGGUUCUUCCUUCAAUUUCAAAUAAAAUUCAAGUUUUCUUCAUUAAUUCUUUCAUUAUUCAUCACAUGUUUUAUCUUGAAUUUGAUCCACAACUCAUCGAUGUCUUCAAAUUGAGGUAACAUAUUGAUUCUUAUUGAUAAUUCUAAGUUCGCUUUUUUUUUUGUAAUUUGAGAUUUUAUCAAUGAUUACGAGAUUUUAAUGGAUCUAAAGCUUUUACAUUGAAUUUUUAUUCAAAAAUGGUGAAAUCUGAAUUAUUGAGUAAACUUGUUGUUUUAAAGUGAUUUUCAACUUAUUUUGAACUAAUUAGAAGGUUUUUGAACUCAAUUUAACAAACCAUUUAUGGUUUUCAUGAAUUGAACAUUUUCCCUCUUUUGAUGUUCAUGUAAGCUUAUUUUUUGAAAAACUUAGAUUCGAGAGAUUUGACGAAAUUGAUGGUUUAGGUAUAUAAUAAUAUGGUAUUUAAGAUGUUUAAAAACAUGUUUGAGGUUUAGAAAUGAUAAUUAAGUGAUGAAAUCUCCUGUUUUAGUAAAAUGAGUUAGUUUUCAGUAUUGAGUAAGAAGAGGCUAGAUCCACGAUUUUACUGCUAAUUGAGGGUGUUUGUGGCUAUUCAUGAUGUCCUUGAAAUGUUUUUUUUGUGUGUGCAAAGCAUCGGAUCUAUCGGGAACCUUUACGAGUAAGGUGAAGAGGAAAGAAAAGCUUAUAUGAUCUUUUAGUGUGCAAAAGGAAAUUGCAAGGUAAAUGGUCUGGUGUGCUGUAAUUAUGCACAAAUCAAUGUGUUAAAGGGGAGCUUAGGCAGCCUAAACAUCUAACCUAAGUUCCAAGAGUAAGUGAUUUUACUUAAGUUUUUGUAAAUUGCAAAUGGUGCUUAUAUGUAAUGAGUCUAUGACAUGUUAAUGUGAUUAUAUGUGAUGUGAUAUGUUAAAAUAAAACUUUUGAUCUGCUGGUCUGAUGCACACAUAUGAGAUUAUUGUAAUUAUGGCUCAACGAGCAAUUGUGAUAGCACUUAAAAAGUGUUUUAAAUGAGAAUGUGAUAGUAUUAUGAAUCAUGAUGAACAUGAUAUAUGAAAGUGUGCAUAAACUAGAAAAUAAAUGUAUGUUUAAGUGGAUAUAUUGGCAUUGUGAUCUCUUGGAACCAUUGGAUAUAGUUGGAAUGCCAUAGGGUUGUGAGCACUCACCAUUUUUUAUUUUGUUUGGGGUGAUGAGGCCUGAAGAUAGUGAUGGAGAGAUAAGAGAAUGUUUAGCAUAACUUCAUUCACCGAAUAUAACGUGGUGUGUUUGGAAAGUGUUAGCAACCAUGCUACAAUUGCAUGAAGAUAGCUUACAACUCUAUAUGUCAUUUGGUGUGUUAGGAGAUCCGUUUAUCCAAUGCACAUAUGUUUAUACAUGUUUCCUAGUUACAAUAUGUCAAUAUAUUAACAUGAAUUUUUAUGAUACAUGUUUGAUGUAAUACCAUGAGUAAAAGAUAUAGUAUGCUUUUUAUUAAACUUGAUAUUGUGGAUUCUUUGUAGCAAUCUUUGAGCACUUACUGAUCUUGAAAAAGCUUACACUCUUUUAUGUAUAUUUUGCAGAGAAAUAGCUAGCUUAAGGAGGAGAAGUGAUGAUGCGAUCUCGUAUUUGUUGAUGAAAUCAAGUCACUUUGUUCCCAAUCGUAAAAUUAAGUAACGAGGUUUUGGUUUAACAAAAAAGGUUGUUUUCAAAUGGUGAUAGUUUAAACAAAGAAAAUAAAUAGAUGAUAUCAAAACACGAAAUAAGCAUACAUAAUUGAGAACACGAAUCAAGUAUUUAUCAUGUAAAUCAAAAAUCAAAUAAUAAAAUUCAUCAUAGGUUUCAUCUUCCCUAGGUAUCUAGGGAAUUUAGUUCAUACUCCUAAAUAGAAACAUCUCAAAGUUAGGAUAACAACAAGACAUAAAGAAUUUUAAUAAAACUUCAAAAGAAAUUAAAAGGAGAUCUUCAAUCUUGAAAGAGAUCCGCUCUGAGCUGAUUUCGAUGGCGUUCUCUGAGUCUUUUCUUCAAUCUUCUCUGCAUCCCCCUUAGGUCUUCUUCUAGUUGAUAUUUAUACACUUUAGAAUGCUCAGAAAGCCUAAAAUUUGAGUUUUUCCGCAUGUUUGGGAAACAAGGUGCUAUAUUGACACGGGCUGGCACAUGGGCGUGUGGCUCACACGGGCAUGUGGCCAGCCUGUGUGGAAGUGCCCAGGCCAUGUGGAUCUUGAAAACAGCUCUAUUUGUCUGAUUUUUUCUCGUUUUUCACUUUUUUCACUCCCAAAUGCUCUCCUAAGUAUAGAAACAUGAAUUUAAGGGAUUAAGAUCAUCAAAUUCACUAAUUUAAAUCAUUAAUCAUCCAAAAAAUGCAUUAAAAAUGAGAUUAAAUGUUAAUUUUAUAACUUAUCAAGAUGCAACAACAAAUAAUUGGUUAAAACAUUCCAUGUGUUAUAAAAUCUCUUUCUUUUCUCUUUCAUCAUCACUUUCAUCACCGCUGGAAUUCUCAACUAUACUCAUCACCUGUGAAUAAAUUUUAUAUCCAAAAUCAUAUAUAAACAACUAUUGAUAAAACUAAUUUAGUAUAAAUAAGUAGAACAUAAAUUUAACAUCCAAAAAUCAAAUAUAAACAAUUAUUGAUAAAACUAGCCCUAAGCAUAAAUAAUUAGACCAUAAAUUCAAUAUCCAAAGACCAAAUAUAAACAAAUAUUGAUAAAACUAGAUUACACAUAAAUAAACAGAACAUAAAUUCAAUAUCCAAAAACCAAACAUAAAUAGCCAUUGAUAAAACUAGAUUACACAAAAAUAAGUAGCACAUAAAUUCAAUAUCCAAAAACCAAACAUAAAUAACUAUUGAUAAAACUAGUUUAGCAUUGUUGUUUAGUCACAUAGUAGGUAUCUCUGAACCCUAGAAGAUCAAAAAAUUUUCAACUAUCCUCCAUGUAACACCCCUUACCCGAGACCGUUGCCGGAGUCGAGCACGAGGCGUUAUCUGACUUAACUUACUAGAUUGGAGCAUAAAAAUUUACUUUUAAAAUUAAUUCGCUCAUGUUCAAUCAAUAUGUCCCUAAAAAGGACCCUCGAGACCCUAAAACAUGUAAAAAAAAUGGUUUAGGUUAAAACUAGGAACAUUAAAAAUUUUCCGAAUACUUAAACAGAUUAAAAUAAUUUAUUUCACUGUUCACAAUAAAACUGUACACCUGCGUAACAAUCACUAAUUUAAUUAUAACUUAAGUUACAAAACUCGAAACUUAGAUCCAUAAAUUUUCCCUGCAACCAGAUUCAUAUAUCUUAUUAUCAUAAAAUUUCUAGAAUUUUUGGUUUAGCCAAAUAGUAAAUUUUAUUCUUUAAAGUUUCCCAUGUUACACCAUCUGACUGUUCUGCCCUCUAUUCACUAAAAGUUAAUUAUCUCAUUGUACAGAAUUUAGAUAAUGUUCUAGUUUGUUUCUAUUGAAAAUAGCUCACUAAUGAAUCUAUAAAUAUAAAUUAUGACUCAUAAUUCUUUCUAUAAAAUUUUUAAUGAUUUCCUGAAGUCAGAAUAGGGGACUUCAACAACCAUUCUGAACCUAUCUCACUAAAUUUCAAAUAUCUCACAAUAUAAAAUUCCUUUCCCUACACCGUUUCUUUCAUGUGAAAAUAGACUCGAUAAGAUUUAAUUUUAUAUCUCAUUCACUCUCUAAUUCCAUUUCUAAUAUUUCUAGUUAUUUUUCAAAAUCAUGUCAAUGGUGCUGUCUAAACACUAUUCCAGUGCAAAUUUUUACUCUUUUAUAAUUUCUUUGUAUUAACUAUCAUUUAGGCAUACAUAACACCAAAACAUGUUCUUAAUUAGCCAUUUCAAUAGCUAAUAUUUAUCGAAUAUUUACAUGCUAUUCAUUAGCCAUAUCAUAAGGACACACACACAAAAUGACUAAGUCCCUAUACAUACCAUAACUUAAAAUGUUUCGAAUCACAAAAUACCGAGAUGGCCUGAUGAUAGUGUGAAACAAUCUCUGACGUCUUUAGAUCCCUGAAUUGGCUUGGCGAUACUAUAAAAAAGAAGGAAAAUAAAGGGAGUAAGCGUAAAGCUUAGUAAGCUUACAAACAAACAAAUAACAAAGUUUAUCAUAAAUAAUUAUACUCAUAAAUUAUCAUCAAGUAUCAUGAUCUUUACUUUCUUCUUUACUUACUCUCUUACUUGUUUACUUACUUGCUUACUUAAAUAACUCAUGAUUAUAACUUACUCUUCCCUCACUGAAACUUCUUUCUCAACUGAUAACUGAAAUAUUCUUAACCCUUAUAACUCACCUGAAUCUAUUUAUUAUGUUUUUACCUGAACUUUCAUGUAACAUAGUCUCUUUACUAGCACGUUAAACUACUUGGAAUACUAAGGAUACUCGGGUCUCCUGUCUAAUAGUAACAUGCCAAAGCCAUGUCCCAGACAUGGUCUUACAUGGGAUGUUUCCCGUACUGCCAAUGCCAAUCUCAGAUAUGCUCUUACAUGGGAGUUCUCAUAUCGGUGCCCAUGCCAUGUCCUAGACAUAGUCUUACGGGGGACCUUUCAUCUCGGUGUCAACGCCAUGUUCCAGACAUGGUCUUGUGUGGGACUCUCAUAAUCUCAAUAAUGCCAAUGCCAUGUCCCAGAAAUGGUCUUACAUGGGAUCUCAUUCCCUUAAUGUCAUGACAUUUGUAUCCGAUACAUUCUUAAUGUUUCAACGAGACUUUUUAACACUGAUUCUCUAUCAUAUCAUACUUGAGUCAACAUUAAAUAAUUUCAUGAAAUAAGUACAUAGUUGCUGGAAAAUAACAUUAUUAAUAAUAAUUAUUGAAAUAUUGCAUUUAUUUACCGUAAACUUACCUCGGUACAAAAUACGAUCAAAUCUAACAACUUAGUCCUCAACCUUUUUCUUUCCCCUGUCUAAAUCUAGAUUUCGUUCCUCUUGAUCUAUAAUAGAAAAUUUAGCUUAUUUAAUACUCACAUUCAUCAAAACAGUCCUUGACUCGAACUUUGGAAAAAUUAUGAUUUUGCCCCUAAACUUUGUAUAUUUACACUUUUGCCCCAAAGCUAAGAAAUUAAACUUCAUCCCUUAUUCUUAUGUUUUAUGACAUGCUGAACAUCUUUCCAUUCUAUGGCAACAUCAAAUUCCCACUCCAACAUUUACUUAUGAACAUUAGGUAUUUUUACCGAUUAUGUCGUUUUACUCGUUUUCACUUAAAAUCGCCUAGCAAAAUUUGUUUAACAUAAUUUCAAGCUUCACAUUCUACCAUAAAACAUCAAAAUAAACACAUUUCACCUAUGGGUAUUUUUCCAAAUAUGAACCCUAACAUGAAUUAAUGGUAAAAUAAGGUAAACCGAGCUACGAGGACUCCAAAAACGUAAAAAAAAAUUAAAAACGGGGCUUGGAUGCACUUAAUAUGAGCUUGAAAAAAUUAAGAAACCCUAGAUAUGGUGUCCUUGAAAUUUCAGCCCUAUGGAGAAGAUGAGCACGUUUUGCCAUCUUUUUCCCUUUUUAAUUCUUUUUAUUACCAAAUGACUAAAAUGCCCUUCAUUAAAACUUUAGUUAUUUUUAUCUAUGCAUAGCCAUUUUUGUCCAUGAAAAUCUAAUGGUCUAAUUACCAUUUAAGGACCUCUACUUCAAUUAUGCACUUCAAUUAAAUCCUUUAUCAUCUAAAACUCAUAUUUACCCACUUUUGCAAUUAAACCCUAAUAUGCAAUUCAGACAUGCAAUCGCUGAAAUUUCUUAUCGGUAUUCUAACACAUGCAUCCAAUCAAUCGAUAAAUCAUAAAAAUUAAUCACAAUAAACUUUUCUAUCUUAGAUUCGUGGUUUCGAAACCACUAUUUUAGAAUGUUAGAUUUCUCCCCCUUUAGGGAUUUUCGUCCCCGAAAAUCUUACAUGUGAAGAGAUUUGGGUACUAUUUUCGCAUAGUCUCUUCUGGCUCCCAUGUAGCCUCGUCUACCCCAUGCCUAUCCCAUAAUACUUUUGCAAGUGCAAUACUUUUAUUCCUUAGUUGCUUGAACUCUCAAGCUAGAAUCUCUAUCGGUUCUUCACCGUAAGUCAUAUCUGGCUGAAUCUCAACCUUUGUUUGAGAAAUCACAUGUGACGGAUCUGAAUGAUAACGACGUAACAUAGACACAUGGAAUACUUCAUGAAUCUUCUCUAACUCAGUCGGCAACAGUCGGCAAAGCUAACUGAUAUGCUAAGGGCCCAAUUUUUUUAGUCACCUUGAACUAUCUAAUAAAACGUGGACUUAGUUUUCCUUUCUUGCCAAAUAUGAGAACUUUCUUCCAUGGGGAUACUUUCAAAAAUACCCUGUCACCAACCUGAAACUCAAUCUCUUUUCUUUUCAAAUCUGCAUAGGAUUUCUGUCUAUCUGAAGCUACUUUCAAGCAAUCUCUAAUAACUUUUACUUUCUCUUCUGUUUCUUUGACUAGAUCAACCCCGUAAAUCUAUUUUUCCUUAAGCUCUAUCCAAUACAAAGGCGUACGACACUUACGUCCAUACAAAGCUUCAUAAGGUGUCAUCUUCAAACUCAACUGAUAACUAUCCUUGAAAUUCUAAAACACAACAUUUGAGCAUAUCCUCAAGUAUCUAAAUAACUCUCUCUAAUUGACCAUCUGUCUGAGGAUGGAAAGUUGUACUAAAACUCAACUUUGUGCCCAAAUCUUCCUGUAAUUUCUUCCAAAACUGCGAAGUAAAUCUCGGAUAUCUAUUUGAGAUAAUCAAUAACGGUACUCUAUGUAAUCUGACUAUCUCUGAAAUAUACAACUCAACCAACUUGUCAAGUAAAUAAUCCAUAUGAACUGGGAUAAAAUGAGCCGACUUCGUUAGCUUAUCAAUUACAACCCAUACUGCAUAUUUCUUUCUCGAUGUCAACGACAACCCUUUCACAAAAUCCAUGGUAACUCGGUCCCAUUUCCACUCAGGAACUAACACGGGCUGUAAUAAACCUGAAGGUACCUGAUGUUCGGCCUUUACCUGCUGACAAAUCAAGCAUCUAGAAACAAAUUCUAAAAUAUCUCUUUUCAUUCCUGCCCACCAGUACGUUUUCUUCAAAUCAUUAUACAUCUUUAUACUACCUGGGUGAAUAGACAAAGAAUUGCUAUGUGCUUCCUGUAAGAUCUUUCGAAUAAGCUCAUCAUUCUUCGGUACAUAUAUUCAUUUUCUGAACAACAAACAACCAUCAAAAUCAAUCUGAAAAUCAAACUCUACACCUGACUCGCACUGAGCUCUUUUAGCUUGUAACUCACUGUCAUCUUUCUGAGCUUUAUAGAUUUCUUCAAUAAACAUCGGUUUAGCUCUCAACUCAGCUAAAAUAGAACCGUCAUCUGAUAAAGCCAAACUAGUAUUCAAAACUCUCAAUGUAAAUAAAAACUUUAUACUCAAGGCAUCAGCAACAACGUUUGCCUUACCCGGGUGAUAAUCGAUCACUAGCUCAUAAUCUUUAAUAAAAUCUAGCCAUCUUCUUUGCCUCAAGUUCAAAUCUUUCUGGGUCAUCAAAUAUUUCAAACUUUUAUUGUCAGUGAAUAUUUGGCACUUCUCACCGUACAAGUGAUGUCUCCUGAUCUUCAACGCAAAUACACUGGCAGCUAGCU
This 12424-nucleotide long non-coding RNA is filed under the name Gossypium raimondii (Peruvian cotton). Its description in RNAcentral is "long non-coding RNA (GRAI_LNC000664)". The record is from RNAcentral. Lineage: Eukaryota; Viridiplantae; Streptophyta; Magnoliopsida; Malvales; Malvaceae.